Long non-coding RNA from Homo sapiens (human), 1709 nucleotides. NCBI's taxonomy places the organism in Eukaryota, Metazoa, Chordata, Mammalia, Primates, Hominidae. The record is from Ensembl.
AAUAAAGGGUUGUGUUAGACUGCUAUACCUUGAAAUAAUUUCUUAUAAGUCAUUAAUAACUGAAGUAAGCAUUAAUUGAACCUUUAAACAGUUAAACUUACAAUAAUUAUUUUGAAGAUCAUCUUGCCUUAAAAACUUCAAGAUCUUUGAGGGGAUAAUUUGCCAUCUUAGUAUUUAGAAGAACUGUGUUUGUGUCUAUAUGAGGGAGAUCAGAUUAUAAUAGAAGGUAAAUGGGUACAGCUACUUGGGAGGCUGAGGCAGGAGAAUGGCGUGAACCCGGGAGGCGGAGCUUGCAGUGAGCCGAGAUCCCGCCACUGCACUCCAGCCUGGGCGACAGAGCGAGACUCCGUCUCAAAAAAAAAAAAAAAAAAAAAAGCUUUCCUGGAAUUUUAAACUAUUUUCUCUUUUGAUUAAAAAAAAUAGAGGAUGAGAUAUGCACUCAUUACAAGAAUAUUACAUUUCAGGAUUUGGUAAAAUGAAGAGAAAGUUUUGAAUGGGCUAAACAGGAAUUCAAGGACUUCUUAUAAUACAUUCCAGAGCUCAGCAACUCUUUUUUUAUAUUGCCUGCUGUUUGGGAUUAUAUUCAUCAUUGCUGCCUUCAGUUACAGGGCAAAAUGCUGAAUGGCAGAAGGCUGAAGAAAAGCUAAAAGCUCCGUCCUAUUGAGAAGUUCAUCACAGGGAAGACUCCACUGAAGUAAUCAGAUGCCUUUCCUGCUGCCCUGAGUCUUUAACUGUCCAAAGGGAGUCCUGAACCCAAAGCUGUUUCAGCUGCAUGCGAUUGUUAGGAUCAUUCACUCAUACCUCUUCGUUUAGGAUAGAGAACAAUCAGGCAAAGAAAGGGGAGGACUAACCCAAGGUCAGAUAAUUAGCUAAGGGCAUCAGAACCCACAGUUCAGGGUUGUUAGUACCACAUCAAGCUCCCUUGCAAAUUAGCUUCAUAAAUUCUAAGCCCACAGGCUCAGGGCUCAUCUGAAAGAGAUGGACCAGAGAGGAGGAGAUGGAGAAAAAAGUCUCCUACCACACACUGGAACCACUUUUACAGAAGUGCCUGUUGUCUCCCCUGCACCCCUGCACUCCCAACCCCAACAAUGCCAGGCAGCAAGCUGUUGCAGAAAGGAAGCAGGCUGCUGCCCCUGCAGUGUUCAGGCCUCCUCCUGGCAGGGCUCCCUCUACCUGAAUCCAUCUCAGGGAAAUGGUCAUCUCUGACUAUGCUGCACAGAGCCUGCAAAGCUAUGUUAAUAAUCUCUCUGGGCCUUAAACUGAAUAACCAAGAUUUCGCACAUGUACCAUUCACUUCCCACUUAAUAUGCACACUCAAUUUACACAGGAAGUAUGCCUAAGGCUCUUUCAAUGACUGUAUGUGACUACACAUAGGGUUUUUCUUUUAUAACAGAUUGGCAAAUGCCUGAGGUGGUAUGAGUGUGAUGUUGCUGGAAAACCUUAGUUGAAAUUCCUAGACUAUAUGAAAUCCUUUUUAAAUCUCCUUAUUCUGAAAACAUAUUUUUUUAAAAAAAAUUUAGACCACUCAUGGGAUUUAAAGUAAAAAGUACAAAUAUACUGUAUUUCGUGACUAUAAUCAAACUGGAGACAUUAUGCAAACAUAGAGCUCUUAUAUUUUCAUUCUUCUACUUUAGGUCGCAAUUGUCUAUCUCUGCAUUAUGUGCAAACCAAAAUGAGAACUGCAGGAAUAAAACACAUGGUUGUGUCCA